CUCUCUUUCACUAUUCAAUCUAUCCAACCUCCAGACAUAUCUUUGAGCUCCUUCUUCUCAUGGGGACUUUACAUUACUACUCCCUCUCAUCUCAAUCAUUAGUGGCUCUCUGCUCUACAUGGAUGAAUUGUUCCAAAUCUCCCAUCACUUUCUCCAUCUUGUUGAAACUUUGCAUUAAUAAGCUGCAAUUAAAAAAAAAGAAAUUUUAAAAAGAAAAAAUGAAAAAUCAAUUGGCUUUUAUGGUGGGUUUGGAUGGGCGAUUAGGUGCGGUGCAGUGCGUUUAGCUUACUUUUUAUCUCACGCUAAAGUAUCACUACAGUAUCUAAUCUCACCACUACCGCUGUUUUUACACUAACCGCAGGUAAAAGCAUCGUCCAUCCAAACUCACCCUUAAUCUUUUCAUCCCGUACAUAACACCAUUUUCAAUAAAUUCCAUCCUCACCACAUUUCCACUUUGGUUCUUUUGGGGUUACACUGCAAAAAAUAAGCGUGCUGUAUGGGAAGAUAAAAUGGCAUAUUUUGUAAUUUAUUUUAUUUUUAAAAGGAGAAAAAUUAUAAGGUAAACUAUAAAACUGGUCAUGAAAUUUUAGUGAAAAUUAUUUUUUUUGCAACUGAAUUAUAAAAAGUUAUAUUUUCAUCAUUAAAAUUAUCGAUUUAUAAUGUUUCGUCAUUGGUUCAUUAAUGGUCGUUACAACCUUAAUGAAAACGUGAGGUGCACAUUAAUUCAAAAGUUAAUAUCCAAUUUGAUCCUUGAAUUAUAGUUAAAAUAUUCAAUUGGUAUUUUUACAAUAUUUUAACAAUAAUUUUGAAAAAAAUAUUAAAAAUUUUAUUUAAAAAAUUCAAAGAAUAUCUUUAAAACAUCUGAAAAUUUAUUACUUAUUUUUUGAAAUUAUAAAAAUAAUUUUAAAAAUUAUAGUUAUAUAAAAAUUCAAAAAUUCAAAAAAAUAUAAUAAACAAAACAUGUAUGAACAAAAUAAAAAUACAUAUUUUCUAUGUAAGAUGCGUGCAUAGCAAGCCAUUGAUGGUCCAUUAGUUUGAAUGCAAUGCAAUCCAGAAGGUCAAACACAGACUCGUUUUCGAUUCGAAGGCAAAAAGCAGAGCUAAUUUACUUUAAAGGAGUACAACUAGAUUGAAGACUAAAUGAAUUAGGAAAGAAAUAAACUUCCACAAAAACAUUAUAAACAAUGAAAGUGCAAAAACUUGGAAUAAAGUCGCAUUACCUGAGAGCAACUUUAAGAAAAUUG
This 1244-nucleotide long non-coding RNA is filed under the name Gossypium barbadense (sea-island cotton). Its description in RNAcentral is "long non-coding RNA (GBAR_LNC020990)". Lineage: Eukaryota; Viridiplantae; Streptophyta; Magnoliopsida; Malvales; Malvaceae. The record is from RNAcentral.